This 506-nucleotide ribosomal RNA is filed under the name Telephanus sp. (Malagasy) BYU CO846. RNAcentral's name for it is "partial 16S ribosomal RNA". The stretch from base 380 to 506 matches the Rfam family "Bacterial large subunit ribosomal RNA", at positions 2473 to 2600 of the family's 2925-position model. The record is from RNAcentral. Lineage: Eukaryota; Metazoa; Arthropoda; Insecta; Coleoptera; Silvanidae.
GUCUUUUUGAAAAUAAUUUAAAGUCCGACCUGCCCACUGAUAAAUUAAAGGGCUGCAGUAUUUUGACUGUACUAAGGUAGCAUAAUCAUUAGUUUUUUAAUUGAAAGCUAGAAUGAAUGGUUUAAUGAAAAACUUACUGUUUCAAUUAUAAAUAUUGAAUUUUAUUUUUAAGUUAAAAAGCUUAAAUAAAUUUGAUAGACGAGAAGACCCUAUAGAGCUUUAUAAUUUAUUUAAUUAGUUAAUUUUAGUAUUAAUAAAAUAAAUUAAUUGAAUUAUUAGGUUGGGGUGAUUUAUAAAUUUAUUAAACUUUUUAUUUUAAAAUCAUUAAUAUAUGAAAAUUUGAUCCUUUAAUAAAGAUUAAAAGAUUAGUUACCUUAGGGAUAACAGCGUUAUUUUAUUAAGGAGUUCUAAUUUAUAAUAAAGUUUGCGACCUCGAUGUUGGAUUAAAAUUAAGUUUUGGUGUAGAAGCUAGAAUUUUAAGUCUGUUCGACUUUUAAAAUUUUACA